Gossypium raimondii (Peruvian cotton) is the source of this 87-nucleotide non-coding RNA. The record is from Rfam. Lineage: Eukaryota; Viridiplantae; Streptophyta; Magnoliopsida; Malvales; Malvaceae.
CACAUCAGCGCGCUUUGCCGACGUGGACACAAAUCGCUAUUACGUGGACGCAAUUUGUUGCCACGUCAGCAAAGCGCGUUGAUGUGG